AGCCUUCUCGGUGGGAGAGGAUGAACUGCCAUGUCUAAGAGAAAGACUUGCCCCCGAAUUUGUAGUUUUGGCCAGAAAUGGUGAGAAGAAAAAGCAUGAAGAAGCCGCGAAGUGUGGGGGAGAAAAAGGUGGAAGCGAAGAAACAGCUCCCGGAGCAAACUGUACAAAAACCUCGCCAAGAGUGUCGGGAGGCAGGACCGUUAUUCCUGCAGAGCAGGAGAGAGACGAGAGACCCUGAAACACGCGCCACCUAUCUUUGUGGGGAGGGAUAAUUGAAGCGCCCUGAGCGUGAGCAUCAUGUGAAAACGUGAUCGCCAAGUUUCUCUCUGGGAAAGGAUCUGGGAUAGAUUAUACCUUGAAGUCUCCGCAAACGCUUUAGUGGAA
RNAcentral lists this long non-coding RNA (384 nucleotides) under Homo sapiens (human). Its description in RNAcentral is "non-protein coding ZEB2-AS1:28". The record is from RNAcentral. Lineage: Eukaryota; Metazoa; Chordata; Mammalia; Primates; Hominidae.